Acanthosepion pharaonis is the source of this 92-nucleotide non-coding RNA. Lineage: Eukaryota; Metazoa; Mollusca; Cephalopoda; Sepiida; Sepiidae. The record is from the annotation of a GenBank genome assembly.
AAAAAUGCCAGUCCCCGUACGAUCACCGAAGUUAAGCAAUGUCGAGCCUAGUCAGUAGCUAGGUGGGUAGCCGCUUGGUAAUUCUAAGUGCC